ACACGUGAUUCAGAGUUUGAUCCUGGCUCAGAUUGAACGCUGGCGGCAGGCCUAACACAUGCAAGUCGAGCGGAUGACGGAGCUUUGCUCCUUGAUUCAGCGGCGGACGGGUGAGUAAUGCCUAGGAAUCUGCCUGGUAGUGGGGGACAACGUUUCGAAAGGAACGCUAAUACCGCAUACGUCCUACGGGAGAAAGCAGGGGACCUUCGGGCCUUGCGCUAUCAGAUGAGCCUAGGUCGGAUUAGCUAGUUGGUGGGGUAAUGGCUCACCAAGGCGACGAUCCGUAACUGGUCUGAGAGGAUGAUCAGUCACACUGGAACUGAGACACGGUCCAG
RNAcentral lists this ribosomal RNA (335 nucleotides) under uncultured bacterium. Its description in RNAcentral is "bacterial SSU rRNA". It matches the Rfam family "Bacterial small subunit ribosomal RNA", at positions 1 to 334 of the family's 1533-position model. The record is from RNAcentral.